AUUGAACGCUGGCGGCAGGCCUAACACAUGCAAGUCGAACGAGUGGCGGACGGGUGAGUAAUGUCUGGGACACCGCCUGAUGGAGGGGGAUAACCACUGGAAACUGGAGCUAAUACCGCAUUCCCUCAUAAGUGCCCAUAUGGGAUUAGCUUGUUGGUGGGGUAAUGGCUCACCAAGGCGACGCCCCCUAGCUGGUCUGAGAGGAUGACCAGCCACACUGGAACUGAGACACGGCCCAGACUCCUACGGGAGGCAGCAGUGGGGAAUAUUGCACAAUGGGCGCAAGCCUGAUGCAGCCAUGCCGCGUGUAUGAAGAAGGCCUUCGGGUUGUAAAGUACUUUCAGCGGGGAGGCGUUACCCGCAGAAGAAGCACCGGCUAACUCCGUGCCAGCAGCCGCGGUAAUAC
This 406-nucleotide ribosomal RNA is filed under the name uncultured bacterium. RNAcentral describes it as "partial 16S ribosomal RNA". It matches the Rfam family "Bacterial small subunit ribosomal RNA", at positions 30 to 526 of the family's 1533-position model. The record is from RNAcentral.